RNAcentral lists this ribosomal RNA (378 nucleotides) under uncultured Prevotella sp. RNAcentral describes it as "bacterial SSU rRNA". It matches the Rfam family "Bacterial small subunit ribosomal RNA", at positions 355 to 730 of the family's 1533-position model. The record is from RNAcentral. Lineage: Bacteria; Pseudomonadati; Bacteroidota; Bacteroidia; Bacteroidales; Prevotellaceae.
UGAGGAAUAUUGGUCAAUGGGCGAGAGCCUGAACCAGCCAAGUAGCGUGCAGGAAGACGGCCCUAUGGGUUGUAAACUGCUUUUAUGCGGGGAUAAAGUGGGGGACGCGUCCCUUUUUGCAGGUACCGCAUGAAUAAGGACCGGCUAAUUCCGUGCCAGCAGCCGCGGUAAUACGGAAGGUCCGGGCGUUAUCCGGAUUUAUUGGGUUUAAAGGGAGCGUAGGCCGGAGAUUAAGCGUGUUGUGAAAUGUAGUGGCUCAACCUCUGCACUGCAGCGCGAACUGGUCUUCUUGAGUACGCACAACGUGGGCGGAAUUCGUGGUGUAGCGGUGAAAUGCUUAGAUAUUAGGAGGAACACCAGUGGCGAAGGCGGCUUUCU